Non-coding RNA from Pantherophis guttatus, 350 nucleotides. The record is from RefSeq and is a predicted model, not a curated record. NCBI's taxonomy places the organism in Eukaryota, Metazoa, Chordata, Lepidosauria, Squamata, Colubridae.
UAUGCUCUGAUAACUUCUGGUUGGAUUAUUGCAACACACUGUACAAGGGACUGCCUUUCAAAUGAUCUGGAGACGUCAAUUAAUAUCAAACCCAGCAGCUUGACUGCUCACUAGGUCCGGGCAGAAGAAGAUGAUCAUGGCUUCAAAACCUAAGGGACUGGAUUGGACAAAACUCAGCAACACUUUUUCAUACGGCUGUUGACAAAAAUAGGAUUGCCAACAUGAUCGCCAACGUCCGAUGAUGGAUACGGCACAAGAGGAAGAAGAAUUGUUUUAACUUUUGAAUGUGCCCUAGUUUUAAUGUGGUAUUUUUAUUUUGCAUUUUAUUAUAUAGGUUUUUAUUCACAUUA